AAAAAAAUCAAACCUCAUUUAUGAUUUUCUAUCCAGUUAUAAUUUUAAUGAAAUCAAAUGAAUCCUUCCUGAUCAGGGUAAACAUGUACUUGAACCACAUAAGGAAUUGGUCAUUUAAGAUGAAUUCUCCCAACUUCUAAGCCUAUAGAUUUGUUGACCACACCAUGUAGACAUGGCUACGUUCUCUGCUCAGCAUAUGAUGAUGUUGAAAUCGAAGGGUUGGCUGGACUGAGUUCUCAUCUCUAGGCUCUGGGUGGGGCCGGGGCGGGGGCGGAGAUCCUCCUUGAGGCUUGUUUUCAUUGGCAGAUGUCAGUCCUUUAGGACUGAGGACAUGAACCUUAUUUACAUGCUGACUGUCAGCUAGUGGCUACCAGCCCCCCAAAUUCCUCGCCUUUGUCUCCCUCCAUCCUCAAGCCAGCAAACGGUGUGUUGAAUCCUCAUGCUUCAAAUUUCUGACUUCCUCUUCUGAGAUGAGCCAGGGAAACCUCCAAGCUCUGAAAGGGCUCAUGUGACUAGGUCAGGCCCACCAGGGUAAUCUCCUUAUCUCAAGGUCAACCGUGCUGUCUCAUCUAAUCUAAUCACAGGAGUAAAAUCCAUUAUAGUCACAAACCUGGGGACUAUACAAGAUGUUUAUGACAGGUGUGGGGGUAUUGGACACCAUCUCCGAAUUCUGCUGGCCACACCCGGCUUCGAGAAGGAUCAACCCAUGGCCAAUCUUGUUUCAUCUUGCUGCAGUUGGAUUCCCUGGGAAGCAGGCUCGGAGACGAAGGUUAGCUUGCGGGCAGUUUAGUAGGAGUGUGGGCAGGAUCAACUCUGUGCAAGGGAGAGGAAGGAAGAGAGGGCUCUGAAGCAGGGAUGGUCCUUCAGAAGUAUUCCAAGGUGGGGCAACUCCGUGGGGCAGGGCCAAGACCCUGGAUGUGGGCUGCCCCAGGCAGGGGUUCAUGGGGCGCUCCCCCUGAAGAUACGACAGUGGACCACACAGCACUGUGUUUCUGCAGCCUCUGCAGCACAUUCAGCAUUAUUUUGAGGCAGCAUCUGUUCUUUUGCGAUGUGAGCAGCUGUUCGUGCUUCACAUCUGAGCAGCGUCAGUUCUGA
RNAcentral lists this long non-coding RNA (1095 nucleotides) under Ursus maritimus (polar bear). Its description in RNAcentral is "lncRNA (ENSUMAG00000020015.1)". Lineage: Eukaryota; Metazoa; Chordata; Mammalia; Carnivora; Ursidae. The record is from RNAcentral.